GACGAACGCUGGCGGCGUGCUUAACACAUGCAAGUCGAACGGAAAGGCCCUGCUUUUGUGGGGUGCUCGAGUGGCGAACGGGUGAGUAACACGUGAGUAACCUGCCCUUGACUUUGGGAUAACUUCAGGAAACUGGGGCUAAUACCGGAUAGGAGCUCCUGCUGCAUGGUGGGGGUUGGAAAGUCUCGGCGGUUGGGGAUGGACUCGCGGCUUAUCAGCUUGUUGGUGGGGCAGUGGCUUACCAAGGCUUUGACGGGUAGCCGGCCUGAGAGGGUGACCGGCCACAUUGGGACUGAGAAACGGCCAAGACUCAUGCGGGAGACAGCAGGGGCGAAUAUGACACAAUGGGCGGAAUCCUGAUGCAGCAACGCGCCGUGCGGGAUGACGGCAUUCGGGUUGUAAACCGCUUUCGCCUGUGACGGAGCCUGAGUGACGGUAAUGAGUAAAGAAGCACCGGCUAACUACGUG
Molecule: ribosomal RNA, 468 nt
Filed under: uncultured bacterium
Lineage: Bacteria
Description: partial 16S ribosomal RNA
Rfam family: Bacterial small subunit ribosomal RNA
Source: RNAcentral